This 56-nucleotide transfer RNA is filed under the name Camelus bactrianus (Bactrian camel). It matches the Rfam family "tRNA", at positions 9 to 63 of the family's 71-position model. Rfam says of the family: Transfer RNA (tRNA) molecules are approximately 80 nucleotides in length. The record is from Rfam by way of RNAcentral. RNAcentral also lists the same sequence under 3 other names. Lineage: Eukaryota; Metazoa; Chordata; Mammalia; Artiodactyla; Camelidae.
AGCUCAGUGGUAAAGCGCAUGCUUAACAUGCACGAGGUCCUGGGUUCAAUCCCCAG